RNAcentral lists this long non-coding RNA (259 nucleotides) under Anser cygnoides (Swan goose). Its description in RNAcentral is "lncRNA (ENSACDG00005016702.1)". The record is from RNAcentral. Lineage: Eukaryota; Metazoa; Chordata; Aves; Anseriformes; Anatidae.
AAAGAGGCAGGAUCCAUGUAGUACUGGGGAAGGGAAGAAGGUAGGCACUCCGGGUUUAAGAACUGAUCCGGUAACUCUGUGCACAGACCAAGAAGGUUCUCCAUAGUGAAUGUGAUCAGGUGACUGGAGAUACACAUCCACAAACUCAAAGAGUGAGCCCAACAGAGUGAGAAGUGCCGUAAUUUGCAGGUGGCACCUGUAAAGCCCUGCACUGUGUUUGUCCACUGACUCACAGCAUAGGAUCAAGGGCAGUCUGGGA